RNAcentral lists this ribosomal RNA (370 nucleotides) under uncultured bacterium. Its description in RNAcentral is "bacterial SSU rRNA". It matches the Rfam family "Bacterial small subunit ribosomal RNA", at positions 524 to 898 of the family's 1533-position model. The record is from RNAcentral.
UACGGAGGAUCCAAGCGUUAUCCGGAAUCAUUGGGUUUAAAGGGUCCGUAGGCGGUUGAAUAAGUCAGUGGUGAAAUCCGGCAGCUUAACUGUCGAACUGCCAUUGAUACUGUUUAACUUGAAUUACUGUGAAGUAACUAGAAUAUGUAGUGUAGCGGUGAAAUGCUUAGAUAUUACAUGGAAUACCAAUUGCGAAGGCAGGUUACUAAUGGUUUAUUGACGCUGAUGGACGAAAGCGUGGGGAGCGAACAGGAUUAGAUACCCUGGUAGUCCACGCUGUAAACGAUGGAUACUAGCUGUUGGGAGUAAUUUCAGUGGCUAAGCGAAAGUGAUAAGUAUCCCACCUGGGGAGUACGAACGCAAGUUUGAA